RNAcentral lists this ribosomal RNA (443 nucleotides) under uncultured bacterium. RNAcentral's name for it is "partial 16S ribosomal RNA". It matches the Rfam family "Bacterial small subunit ribosomal RNA", at positions 338 to 795 of the family's 1533-position model. The record is from RNAcentral.
CCUACGUGCGGCAGCAGUGGGGGAUAUUGGACAAUGGGGGGAACCCUGAUCCAGCGACGCCGCGUGAGUGAAGAAGUAUUUCGGUAUGUAAAGCUCUGUCAGCAGGGAAGAAAGAAAUGACGGUACCUGACCAAGAAGCCCCGGCUAACUACGUGCCAGCAGCCGCGGUAAUACGUAGGGGGCAAGCGUUAUCCGGAAUUACUGGGGGUAAAGGGAGCGUAGACGGUUAAGUAAGUCUGGAGUGAAAGGCCGGGGCCCAACCCCGGGACUGCUCUGGAAACUAUUGAACUUGAGUGCAGGGGAGGUAAGCGGAAUUCCUAGUGUAGCGGUGAAAUGCGUAGAUAUUAGGAGGAACACCAGGGGCGAAGGCGGCUUACUGGACUGUAACUGACGUUGAGGCUCGAAAGCGUGGGGAGCAAACAGGAUUAGAUACCCUUGUAGUC